RNAcentral lists this ribosomal RNA (503 nucleotides) under uncultured bacterium. Its description in RNAcentral is "bacterial SSU rRNA". It matches the Rfam family "Bacterial small subunit ribosomal RNA", at positions 571 to 1071 of the family's 1533-position model. The record is from RNAcentral.
GUAGGCGGUUUGUCGCGUCUGCUGUGAAAGGCCGGGGCUUAACUCCGUGUAUUGCAGUGGGUACGGGCAGACUAGAGUGCAGUAGGGGAGACUGGAAUUCCUGGUGUAGCGGUGGAAUGCGCAGAUAUCAGGAGGAACACCGAUGGCGAAGGCAGGUCUCUGGGCUGUAACUGACGCUGAGAAGCGAAAGCAUGGGGAGCGAACAGGAUUAGAUACCCUGGUAGUCCAUGCCGUAAACGUUGGGCACUAGGUGUGGGGGACAUUCCACGUUUUCCGCGCCGUAGCUAACGCAUUAAGUGCCCCGCCUGGGGAGUACGGCCGCAAGGCUAAAACUCAAAGAAAUUGACGGGGGCCCGCACAAGCGGCGGAGCAUGCGGAUUAAUUCGAUGCAACGCGAAGAACCUUACCAAGGCUUGACAUAUACUGGACCGCAUCAGAGAUGGUGUUUCCCUUCGGGGCUGGUAUACAGGUGGUGCAUGGUUGUCGUCAGCUCGUGUCGUGAG